Molecule: ribosomal RNA, 499 nt
Filed under: uncultured Glomeromycotina
Lineage: Eukaryota; Fungi; Glomeromycota
Description: partial small subunit ribosomal RNA
Rfam family: Eukaryotic small subunit ribosomal RNA
Source: RNAcentral
CCAAUAGCGUAUAUUAAAGUUGCUGCAGUUAAAAAGCUCGCAGUUGAAUUUCGGGACUAAUAUGUCGGUCGUGCCUCGGUACGUACCGGUAUUUUUGGUUUCUCCCUUCUGACGAACCUUGAUGUCAUUAAUUUGGUGUCUUGGGAAAUCAGGACUGUUACUUUGAACAAAUUAGAGUGUUUAAAGCAGGCUCACGCUUGAAUACAUUAGCAUGGAAUAAUGAAAUAGGAUGUUUGAUUCUAUUUUUUUGGUUUCUAGGAUCGACGUAAUGAUUAAUAGGGAUAGUUGGGGGCAUUAGUAUUCAAUUGUCAGAGGUGAAAUUCUUGGAUUUAUUGAAGACUAACUACUGCGAAAGCAUUUGCCAAGGAUGUUUUCAUUAAUCAAGAACGAAAGUUAGGGGAUCGAAGACGAUCAGAUACCGUCGUAGUCUUAACCAUAAACUAUGCCGACUAGGGAUCGGAUGAUGUUAAUUUUUUAAUGACUCAUUCGGCGCCUUACG